UACACAGGACAGAUUUCCCUAUAGUUUCCCCUUAUGGCUGGUUCAAACUAGCCUUAGCCAAUCAGAGCUAGAAUUUAUGGGACAUCCUGUCACUCAAAACGCGCAUAAGCUCUCCUGCAGCAACGCCUCAAUUUUUGAGGAAAUAGCCACCCCCGAAAUAAUGAGCACGUGUCCCCUGGACAUGUACCACGUGAGAGACGUGGCCCGAAGUCAUGUGGAGAAGCAACAGCCCGGCUCUUGUCUGCAAAGAACCACUGAUUUUAUGGAAAAGACUGGAAACCAUGCAGGAGAAGGAAAAGAACAGGGAAUGCCACGGGACACCAUAUUUCGAUGGAGCCCACGGUCCUUCCCGAUGGAGCCCUCCUCCUCGAUGGAGCUCUCAGCCAGAGGAGAGCGUGUUCCGGGUUCCAAGCCAGGAUGUCGGAAUGAGCCCUGGUGCACCGCCCGUGGGAGCAUGUCUGUGUACCCAAAGAAAACAUUACAACUUGAGUAA
Molecule: long non-coding RNA, 493 nt
Filed under: Ursus maritimus (polar bear)
Lineage: Eukaryota; Metazoa; Chordata; Mammalia; Carnivora; Ursidae
Description: lncRNA (ENSUMAG00000007606.1)
Source: RNAcentral